Molecule: ribosomal RNA, 419 nt
Filed under: uncultured bacterium
Lineage: Bacteria
Description: bacterial SSU rRNA
Rfam family: Bacterial small subunit ribosomal RNA
Source: RNAcentral
UAUUGGUCAAUGGGCGAAAGCCUGACGGAGCAACGCCGCGUGAUCGAAUGAAGGAAUUCGUUCUGUAAACUUCUGUUAUAAAGGAAGAAAGACGGAUGGAGGAAAUGACAUCCGAGUGACGGUACUUUAUGAGAAAGCCACGGCUAACUACGUGCCAGCAGCCGCGGUAAUACGUAGGUGGCAAGCGUUAUCCGGAAUUAUUGGGCGUAAAGAGGGAGCAGGCGGCAGCAAAGGUCUGUGGUGAAAGACUGAAGCUUAACUUCAGUAAGCCAUAGAAACCGGGCAGCUAGAGUGCAGGAGAGGAUCGUGGAAUUCCAUGUGUAGCGGUGAAAUGCGUAGAUAUAUGGAGGAACACCAGUGGCGAAGGCGACGAUCUGGCCUGCAACUGACGCUCAGUCCCGAAAGCGUGGGGAGCAAAU